CCUACGGGCGGCAGCAGUGAGGAAUAUUGGUCAAUGGACGAGAGUCUGAACCAGCCAAGUAGCGUGAAGGAUGACUGCCCUAUGGGUUGUAAACUUCUUUUAUAUGGGAAUAAAACGUUCCACGUGUGGGAUUUUGUAUGUACCAUAUGAAUAAGGAUCGGCUAACUCCGUGCCAGCAGCCGCGGUAAUACGGAGGAUCCGAGCGUUAUCCGGAUUUAUUGGGUUUAAAGGGAGCAUAGGUGGAUUGUUAAGUCAGUUGUGAAAGUUUGCGGCUCAACCGUAAAAUUGCAGUUGAAACUGGCAGUCUUGAGUACAGUAGAGGUGGGCGGAAUUCGUGGUGUAGCGGUGAAAUGCUUAGAUAUCACGAAGAACUCCGAUUGCGAAGGCAGUUCACUGGACUGCAACUGACACUGAGGCUCGAAAGUGUGGGUAUCAAACAGGAUUAGAUACCCCUGUAGUC
This 460-nucleotide ribosomal RNA is filed under the name uncultured bacterium. RNAcentral describes it as "partial 16S ribosomal RNA". It matches the Rfam family "Bacterial small subunit ribosomal RNA", at positions 338 to 795 of the family's 1533-position model. The record is from RNAcentral.